Molecule: ribosomal RNA, 268 nt
Filed under: uncultured bacterium
Lineage: Bacteria
Description: partial 16S ribosomal RNA
Rfam family: Bacterial small subunit ribosomal RNA
Source: RNAcentral
AGCUUGCUAUGAGCUGUUUUAGCGGCGGACGGGUGAGUAACGCGUGAGCAACCUGCCCUCCACAGGGGGAUAACGCACCGAAAGGUGCACUAAUACCGCAUAAGACCACGUUUCUGACAUGGGAAUGAGGUCAAAGGAGCAAUCCGGUGGAAGAUGGGCUCGCGUCUGAUUAGCUAGUUGGUGAGGUAACGGCCCACCAAGCCGACGAUCGGUAGCCGACCUGAGAGGGUGAUCGGCCACAUUGGGACUGAGACACGGCCCAAACUCC